Molecule: long non-coding RNA, 821 nt
Filed under: Ananas comosus (pineapple)
Lineage: Eukaryota; Viridiplantae; Streptophyta; Magnoliopsida; Poales; Bromeliaceae
Description: long non-coding RNA (ACOM_LNC030319)
Source: RNAcentral
ACGGCACCUUGAUCGCCAUCUUUUCUUCACCAUCUUUGAAGGGUUCUGUCGAUAAUUUGAUUUGUGGUAUUUGACCAAUCAAUACUUUGAUUAUUUGAAGGUACGCGACCAGACAUCUGUUAGUUUUUGUGAAAUAAUUUAGAAAAAUAUUUUGAUUGGGCGAAAAUCUUGAUUUUGUAAAUUUUAAAAUUAAGGGUUAAAUGUAUAUUAAAUAUUUCUAUAAACUGAGUUUCAACUGUGAUUGAAAGGUUCUUCUAGCAGAAAAAAUUUAAAAUUUGAUAAUAUGUUCUGUAAAUUAGUGACCGGAUAAUCAUUUUAAAUUCUAAUGUAUCUUGGUAUUCUAUCAUGCUAAUGUUGGUCAUGUCGAAAUGUAUUCUGUUAUAGAAGCUAGCUUCAUCUCUGUAUUGCGUCUUCGGUUGCCUGUGCCUAUACGCGCCUCUGUUCUAUAUUUGCGCUUUCGAGCACUUCAUUCUAUAUAUGCACCUUCGGGUGUCUCUGUUCUGUUUUGCGUUGUCGGUGUCUCUGAAUCUCGCAAACGAAUUACACUAUAUAGCUAGUUACCAUAGACUUAAAUUUUUAUUUCUUAUUUGCUGGAAGAUAAAAUACUUUAUAAAUUUAUAAUUCCUAUUUGAUCUGAAUUUCAAAUUCUGAUAACCUUUGUUUUCUAAAAUUUUGCAAAUUAAAAACACCAGUCGCUUACCCAGAUUUCGCCAGUCACUUAAAUUAAUUUUUAUAUUUAUUUAUUUGUAUGCUUAAUUCGACUAAUGUGGUGUAUGAUUACUUGUACAGCUCGAAAAUAGCAACACUGAAUGACAUUAAUU